Molecule: transfer RNA, 85 nt
Filed under: Parasphingorhabdus flavimaris
Lineage: Bacteria; Pseudomonadati; Pseudomonadota; Alphaproteobacteria; Sphingomonadales; Sphingorhabdaceae
Also listed under: 12 other names
Description: tRNA-Leu
Rfam family: tRNA
About the family: Transfer RNA (tRNA) molecules are approximately 80 nucleotides in length. Their secondary structure includes four short double-helical elements and three loops (D, anti-codon, and T loops). Further hydrogen bonds mediate the characteristic L-shaped molecular structure. tRNAs have two regions of fundamental functional importance: the anti-codon, which is responsible for specific mRNA codon recognition, and the 3' end, to which the tRNAs corresponding amino acid is attached (by aminoacyl-tRNA synthetases). tRNAs cope with the degeneracy of the genetic code in two manners: having more than one tRNA (with a specific anti-codon) for a particular amino acid; and 'wobble' base-pairing, i.e. permitting non-standard base-pairing at the 3rd anti-codon position.
Source: RNAcentral
GCCCCUGUGGUGGAAUUGGUAGACGCGCUGCACUCAAAAUGCAGUUCCGCAAGGAGUGCCCGUUCGAGUCGGGCCAGGGGCACCA